GACGAACGCUGGCGGCGUGCUUAACACAUGCAAGUCGAACGAUGAAGCCUAGCUUGCUGGGUGGAUUAGUGGCGAACGGGUGAGUAACACGUGAGUAACCUGCCCCUUACUCUGGGUUAAGCGCUGGAAACGGCGUCUAAUACUGGAUAUUACCUUUCAUCGCAUGGUGUUUGGUGGAAAGAUUUUUCGGUUUGGGAUGGACUCGCGGCCUAUCAGCUUGAUGGUGAGGUAGUGGCUCACCAUGGCGACGACGGGUAGCCGGCCUGAGAGGGUGACCGGCCACACUGGGACUGAGACACGGCCCAGACUCCUACGGGAGGCAGCAGUGGGGAAUAUUGCACAAUGGGCGCAAGCCUGAUGCAGCAACGCCGCGUGAGGGAUGACGGCCUUCGGGUUGUAAACCUCUUUUAGUAGGGAAGAAGCGUAAGUGACGGUACCUACAGAAAAAGCACCGGCUAACUACGUG
This 466-nucleotide ribosomal RNA is filed under the name uncultured bacterium. RNAcentral's name for it is "partial 16S ribosomal RNA". It matches the Rfam family "Bacterial small subunit ribosomal RNA", at positions 28 to 507 of the family's 1533-position model. The record is from RNAcentral.